Molecule: small RNA, 700 nt
Filed under: uncultured fungus
Lineage: Eukaryota; Fungi
Description: eukaryotic LSU rRNA
Rfam family: 5.8S ribosomal RNA (bases 251-404)
Source: RNAcentral
GGAAGGAUCAUUAUUUGAAUAAAUCUGAUGAGUUGCUGCUGGUUCUCUAGGGAACAUGUGCACACUUGUCAUCUUUAUAUCUCCACCUGUGCACCUUUUGUAGACCUGGAUCUCUCUCUGAAUGCUAGCCGUUCAGGAUUGAGGAUUGACUUUUAUGUCUCUCCUUACAUUUUCAGGCCUAUGUUUCUUCAUAUACCCCAAUGUAUGUCAUAGAAUGUAAUCAAUGGCCUCUGUGCCUAUAAACCUAUACAACUUUCAGCAACGGAUCUCUUGGCUCUCGCAUCGAUGAAGAACGCAGCGAAAUGCGAUAAGUAAUGUGAAUUGCAGAAUUCAGUGAAUCAUCGAAUCUUUGAACGCACCUUGCGCUCCUUGGUAUUCCGAGGAGCAUGCCUGUUUGAGUGUCAUUAAUAUAUCAACCUCUUCAGCUUUUGCUUGUUGAGUGUUGGAUGUGGGGGUCUUUUUUGCUGGUCUUCUCAGGUCAGCUCCCCUAAAAUGCAUUAGCGGAACAAUUUGUGGACCGUUCAUUGGUGUGAUAACUAUCUACGCUAUUGACGUAAAGCAGUUCAGCUUCUAACAGUCCAUUUACUUGGACAAAUUUUCAUUAAUGUGACCUCAAAUCAGGUAGGACUACCCGCUGAACUUAAGCAUAUCAAUAAGCGGAGGAAAAGAAACUAACAAGGAUUCCCCCUACUAACUGCGA